AUAUGACCAUGGAGGCAACCUGAUCCAGCAAUGCCGCGUGUGUGAAGAAGGCCUUCGGGUUUGUAAAGCACUUUUGUCCGGAAAGAAAUCCUCUGGCCCUAAUACGGCGGGGGGAUGACGGUACCGGAAGAAUAAGCACCGGCUAACUACGUGCCAGCAGCCGCGGUAAUACGUAGGGUGCAAGCGUUAAUCGGAAUUACUGGGCGUAAAGCGUGCGCAGGCGGUCCGCUAAGACAGAUGUGAAAUCCCCGGGCUUAACCUGGGAACUGCAUUGGUGACUGGCGGGCUAGAGUAUGGCAGAGGGGGGUAGAAUUCCACGUGUAGCAGUGAAAUGCGUAGAGAUGUGGAGGAAUACCGAUGGCGAAGGCAGCCCCCUGGGCCAAUACUGACGCUCAUGCACGAAAGCGUGGGGAGCAAACAGGAUUAGAUACCCUGGUAGUCCACGCCCUAAACGAUGUCAACUAGUUGUCGGGUCUUCAUUGACUUGGUAACGUAGCUAACGCGUGAAGUUGACCGCCUGGGGAGUACGGUCGCAAGAUUAAAACUCAAAGGAAUUGACGGGGACCCGCACAAGCGGUGGAUGAUGUGGAUUAAUUCGAUGCAACGCGAAAAACCUUACCUACCCUUGACAUGUACGGAAUCCUGCUGAGAGGUGGGGAGUG
Molecule: ribosomal RNA, 662 nt
Filed under: Burkholderia sp.
Lineage: Bacteria; Pseudomonadati; Pseudomonadota; Betaproteobacteria; Burkholderiales; Burkholderiaceae
Description: bacterial SSU rRNA
Rfam family: Bacterial small subunit ribosomal RNA
Source: RNAcentral